RNAcentral lists this ribosomal RNA (252 nucleotides) under uncultured bacterium. RNAcentral describes it as "partial 16S ribosomal RNA". It matches the Rfam family "Bacterial small subunit ribosomal RNA", at positions 524 to 776 of the family's 1533-position model. The record is from RNAcentral.
UACGUAGGUGGCAAGCGUUGUCCGGAUUUACUGGGCGUAAAGCGAGCGCAGGUGGUUUAUUAAGUCUGGUGUAAAAGGCAGUGGCUCAACCAUUGUAUGCAUUGGAAACUGGUAGACUUGAGUGCAGGAGAGGAGAGUGGAAUUCCAUGUGUAGCGGUGAAAUGCGUAGAUAUAUGGAGGAACACCGGUGGCGAAAGCGGCUCUCUGGCCUGUAACUGACACUGAGGCUCGAAAGCGUGGGGAGCAAACAGG